Molecule: ribosomal RNA, 1409 nt
Filed under: marine metagenome
Description: bacterial LSU rRNA
Rfam family: Bacterial large subunit ribosomal RNA
Source: RNAcentral
UACCUCUUGCAUAAUGGGUCUGUGACUUAAUGUUUCAAGCAAGCUUAAGCCGAUAGGUGUAGGCGCAGCGAAAGCGAGUCUGAAUAGGGCGACUUAGUUUGAAGUAUUAGACCCGAAACCCGGCGAUCUAUGCAUGACCAGGAUGAAGGUGCGGUAACACGCACUGGAGGUCCGAACCGAUUAACGUUGAAAAGUUACCGGAUGAGUUGUGCUUAGGGGUGAAAGGCCAAUCAAGCCGGGAAAUAGCUGGUUCUCCGCGAAAACUAUUGAGGUAGUGCCUCGAGCGGACACCAUAGGGGGUAGAGCACUGGAUGGUUGCGGGGGUCGCGAGAUCUACCAAUACUAACCAAACUCCGAAUACCUAUGAGUGAUACUCGGGAGACAGACGGCGGGUGCUAAGGUCCGUCGUCAAAAGGGAAACAGCCCUGACCUACAGCUAAGGUCCCCAAGUCGUGUCUAAGUGGGAAAGCAUGUGGAAAUCCCAAAACAACCAGGAGGUUGGCUUAGAAGCAGCCAUCCUUUAAAGAAAGCGUAACAGCUCACUGGUCUAAACAAGGGUUUCUGCGGCGAAGAUGUAACGGGGCUCAAGACACGCACCGAAGCUUAGGGUGUGCACUUUGUGCACGCGGUAGCGGAGCGUUCCGUAAGCCUGUGAAGCGAUCUGGUAAUGGGUCGUGGAGGUAUCGGAAGUGCGAAUGCAGACAUGAGUAGCGAUAAAGAGGGUGAGAUGCCCUCUCGCCGAAAGACCAAGGGUUCCUGCGCAAGGCUAAUCCGCGCAGGGUGAGCCGGCCCCUAAGACGAGCCCGAAGGGGGUAGUCGAUGGGAACCACGUUAAUAUUCGUGGGCCUGGUGGUGUGUGACGGAUGGUGUGUGUUGUCUGACCUUAUCGGAUUGGUCAGGCUUCGAAACUGUCCCGGGAAAUAGCCCCACCGUAUAGAUCGUACCCGAAACCGACACAGGUGGAUUAGUAGAGUAUAUCUAGGCGCUUGAGAGAAUGAUGUUGAAGGAACUCGGCAAAAUGCCUCUGUAACUUUGGAAUAAAGAGGACCUUUUUUUGGGCAACCGUAAAAAGGUGGCACAAGCCAGGGAGAAGCGACUGUUUAUCAAAAACACAGGACUCUGCUAACACGUAAGUGGAUGUAUAGGGUCUGACGCCUGCCCGGUGCUGGAAGGUUAAUGCGAUGGGUGCAAGCUCAUUUCUGAAGCCCCAGUGAACGGCGGCCGUAACUAUAACGGUCCUAAGGUAGCGAAAUUCCUUGUCGGGUAAGUUCCGACCUGCAUGAAUGGCGUAACGAUUUCUCCGCUGUCUCCAACAUCAACUCAGUGAAAUUGAAUUCUCCGUGAAGAUGCGGAGUUCCCGUGGUUAGACGGAAAGACCCCGUGCACCUUUACUGCAACUUUACAUUGGU